UACGAAGGGGGCUAGCGUUGUUCGGAAUUACUGGGCGUAAAGCGCGCGCAGGCGGUUCUUCAAGUCAGAGGUGAAAGCCCAGAGCUCAACUCUGGAAUGGCCUUUGAGACUAGAGAACUAGGGUACGGGAGAGGUGAGUGGAAUUCCGAGUGUAGAGGUGAAAUUCGUAGAUAUUCGCAAGAACACCAGUGGCGAAGGCGGCUCACUGGCCCGGUACUGACGCUGAGGUGCGAAAGCGUGGGGAGCAAACAGG
This 253-nucleotide ribosomal RNA is filed under the name uncultured bacterium. RNAcentral describes it as "partial 16S ribosomal RNA". It matches the Rfam family "Bacterial small subunit ribosomal RNA", at positions 524 to 776 of the family's 1533-position model. The record is from RNAcentral.